Molecule: ribosomal RNA, 162 nt
Filed under: Triticum aestivum (bread wheat)
Lineage: Eukaryota; Viridiplantae; Streptophyta; Magnoliopsida; Poales; Poaceae
Description: partial small subunit ribosomal RNA
Source: RNAcentral
AUGGACUACCGGCCCCUGGCCUCAGCUCUCGACGCCUGCGUCACGCCCAUCACCCUCGACGAGCUCUUCGCCAUGCUCAGCAACUUCGAUCAGCGCGUGGCCCACUUCCAGAACUCCGGCGGCGGCUUCAAGUCAUCUGCGAACGCGGCCACCCGCGGACGU